UGUUAGCUGCAGAAGAUCACAAUGGAGAUAAUCACUACACCAAAUAGUAAGAGAUUAGAAAUCAAAAUACCAUGAUUCAAAUUAGGGUAUGUUUUUAACAAGUACCCUUGUGAGUUAUAAGCUGAGCAUAAAGGACUUGUGACUUGUCCCACAGAACCGAAAUGUAAGACUUCUAGAAAAAAUUAGCUCUCCAUAUUAAAAGAAAAAAAAAUUAUUUUGAGAAGCGCUUUCACUGUCAAAUAACAUUUGCUUCUCCUUGCUGGGAAAUACGGCUUGGCUAAGUUAAUUUUUCCUCCUCCUCUUCCUCAUUCAGCAUCUCUCUAAAAAGUUCUUUCAUGAAGAUGAACAUUCAAAAGCAAAUUCCAUUUUGUAACCAAAUAGUAUAAAGACCUUGUUCAUUAUUUAAGAACAUCAAUUAUUUAGAUGAUCAGUAAUCAUAUUGCUAUUACUAAGGCUCAGUUUAUUUCUUAGAAAAAGCAUAAGACCCUUUGGGUUUAUGUUAAGUCUCUCUUAUUUCUUAGAAAAAGCAUAAGACCAAGUUCUCUAGCCUCCUGUCUUGAUAUUGACAUAUCAAUGUCAGGCACUCUAUGGAUGACAUGCACAUAUGGUACAUGCCCCCCUCAAAGUAGAUUGAAGAACAUGCUUAAACUGUGUAAGACUCCUAUAUUACUUGGGAAGAAGCUAUAUCCUUACUGCAUUUGACCAAUAUCAAAAGACAAACAGUCAACAUGACUUCUAUAAACUAAAUUAAGGUACAACAAAUGUUUAGAUAGACAUCCUCUUGGAAGAAUUUAUAUCCUUGUUAUAUUUGACAUUUUAACAGGCAACAAAAGGCGCACACAGCCAAAUGACUUGAUCAUAAGGUGUAUAAAGAGUCUUUACCUAGAAGAUCCAAGUUGCUUGUAGCUGAGAAUUGAGCUAACUUAUGGCAGAUAACAAAACACCUGUUGCCGUCAUCCUAAAAGAGCAACUAGAAGUUGACGCAAGAACACAACAAGGGUAGAAGCGCAGUUACAUGCAUACACCAAGAGUAGCAUGUUAUGACAUAUGAGUUACUAUUGCAGAAUAUGACAAUUUGCAAAAGCUUAAAAAUGUGCAGAACUCAUCAAAAAGGGAAUGGAAUUUCCAGCUUGCACUUCAAUUCAUUUGAAACUGUACAUAUAAUAUAUGUGAAGGUCUUAUAAAAGACAACAUAAAAAUGUUUAUUCCCUUUUGAAGGCUUACUCAAAAUGGCUACUUAUCUUUAAUGCAUUAUCGAUAUUGCAUGAACAUCCGUUCAUCAGAAAA
This is a long non-coding RNA of Solanum lycopersicum (tomato), 1287 nucleotides long. RefSeq lists it as uncharacterized. The record is from RefSeq and is a predicted model, not a curated record. Lineage: Eukaryota; Viridiplantae; Streptophyta; Magnoliopsida; Solanales; Solanaceae.